AGUAGCCGCGGUAAUUCCAGCUCCAAUAGCAUAUAUUAAAGUUGCUGCAGUUAAAAAGCUCGUAGUUGAAUUUCGGGACCAUCAUGUUGGUCGUGCCUCGGUACGUACUGGCAUUGUUGGUUUCUCCCUUCUGACGAACCAUGAUGUCAUUUAUUUGGUGUUGUGGGAAAUCAGGACUGUUACUUUGAAAAAAUUAGAGUGUUUAAAGCAGGCUCACGCUUGAAUACAUUAGCAUGGAAUAAUGAAAUAGGACGUUUGACCCUAUUUUGUUGGUUUCUAGGAUCGACGUAAUGAUUAAUAGGGAUAGUUGGGGGCAUUAGUAUUCAAUUGUCAGAGGUGAAAUUCUUGGAUUUAUUGAAGACUAACUACUGCGAAAGCAUUUGCCAAGGAUGUUUUCAUUAAUCAAGAACGAAAGUUAGGGGAUCGAAGACGAUCAGAUACCGUCGUAGUCUUAACCAUAAACUAUGCCGACUAGAAAUCGGGCGAUGUUAUUCUCAUGACUCGCUCGGCACCUUACGAGAAACCAAAGUGUUU
RNAcentral lists this ribosomal RNA (534 nucleotides) under uncultured Glomeromycotina. Its description in RNAcentral is "SSU rRNA". It matches the Rfam family "Eukaryotic small subunit ribosomal RNA", at positions 569 to 1108 of the family's 1831-position model. The record is from RNAcentral. Lineage: Eukaryota; Fungi; Glomeromycota.